Molecule: long non-coding RNA, 1049 nt
Organism: Mandrillus leucophaeus (drill)
Lineage: Eukaryota; Metazoa; Chordata; Mammalia; Primates; Cercopithecidae
Exons: 2
Source: RefSeq, a predicted model, not a curated record
UCCUACAUCUGGGGACUGCUCCAGAAACCCUGCCUGAUCCUGCCCCUCUCACUGACAGUCUCCUCGCUGCUCCCUACAUCUUCCUCUCCGCCGGAGCUGUCCAGAAGGGGGAUUUUGGACCCAAAGGAAUCGGGAUGAAAGGGGAUCAGAGUGAGAGGCGCUGGCAAUGGACUAGGAAGCUCGGCUGCCGCUGCUACUGCUCCCCCCUGGGCUCCAGCGAGAGCCUUUCCCUGUCAAGCAAGAGGGGUGAGGAUCAUAUUUUUAUUUUGGAAACUAAAAAGUGCUCCCAGGGUCGGUGAUUAUUAAGGGGAAAUCCCUGAAUAUACUCUCCAGCCAAGAAGGCAGGGCUGCCGGGGCUGUACAAGAAGAGGCAGCAGCCUCCUACAGCACCACUACAGGCACUGCGAGGACAUAACACCAGAGAGCUGCUCCUCUGCCCUCCGAAACGACAACUUUCCUACCAUCUUGGAGGCAGAGCAAAGGGGGGCCAGGGGGAAAAGUGCACCCGCUCCCGAUAAAGUACAAAUUUUUACUCCUCAUCUCUGGAAAAAAGUCCACACCGGCAGUCUACACCGGCGCCUGGGGGAGAAAGCAGGGAAGAAACUGGGGGUGCAUGAGAAACCUUUUCAUUUGCUCCAGGGGGAAAAAUGUUUCUGCAUCUUCUGAUGGAAAGAAAUCAUUACAAGACACAGGUUUUCCGGUGAUUACUGUUUUCUGUUUUCUAUUUCUAAUUUUUUUCAUGUUAGUGACAGUGAUAUUUUAAUAUUUUUUCAGGCCAAUAAUAAUCUCUCUCCAUUACAGGGCUAAGUUCUGUGGCUGGUGGUCAGUUUGUAAAUUUGUACUUAAAGAGACUUAAUAGUAACUUCAUUUAUUUGUCUAGUUAUGUUAUUGUAUAUAUAAAUAUUUACAUGUUUUCAUAUAUUGCAUAUGAAAAUUUGUUACAUGUUACUCUCAAAACUGAGAUUGCUGUAAGACAAUUGUAAAAAACAUGUCUUUCGUCUCUGUCUCAAAGCAAUGUAAAUAAAACCUAUGGACUGUCCAGAAAGGCA